RNAcentral lists this ribosomal RNA (253 nucleotides) under uncultured bacterium. Its description in RNAcentral is "partial 16S ribosomal RNA". It matches the Rfam family "Bacterial small subunit ribosomal RNA", at positions 524 to 776 of the family's 1533-position model. The record is from RNAcentral.
UACGUAGGGUGCAAGCGUUGUCCGGAAUUAUUGGGCGUAAAGAGCUCGUAGGCGGUCUGUCGCGUCGGCUGUGAAAACCCGAGGCUCAACCUCGGGCCUGCAGUCGAUACGGGCAAACUAGGGUACUGCAGGGGAGACUGGAAUUCCUGGUGUAGCGGUGAAAUGCGCAGAUAUCAGGAGGAACACCAGUGGCGAAGGCGGGUCUCUGGGCCGAUACUGACGCUGAGGAGCGAAAGCGUGGGGAGCGAACAGG